This 402-nucleotide ribosomal RNA is filed under the name uncultured bacterium. Its description in RNAcentral is "bacterial SSU rRNA". It matches the Rfam family "Bacterial small subunit ribosomal RNA", at positions 355 to 774 of the family's 1533-position model. The record is from RNAcentral.
UGGGGAAUAUUGGACAAUGGGCGCAAGCCUGAUCCAGCCAUGCCGCGUGAGUGAUGAAGGCCCUAGGGUUGUAAAGCUCUUUCAACGGUGAAGAUAAUGACGGUAACCGGAGAAGAAGCCCCGGCUAACUUCGUGCCAGCAGCCGCGGUAAUACGAAGGGGGCUAGCGUUGUUCGGGAUUACUGGGCGUAAAGCGCACGUAGGCGGAUCGGUCAGUUAGGGGUGAAAUCCCAGGGCUCAACCCUGGAACUGCCUUUAAUACUGCCGAUCUGGAGUCCGGAAGAGGUGAGUGGAAUUCCGAGUGUAGAGGUGAAAUUCGUAGAUAUUCGGAAGAACACCAGUGGCGAAGGCGGCUCACUGGCCCGGUACUGACGCUGAGAUGCGAAAGCGUGGGGAGCAAACA